GGACCGAGUGCCGCUCACGCC
Molecule: non-coding RNA, 21 nt
Filed under: Arabidopsis thaliana (thale cress)
Lineage: Eukaryota; Viridiplantae; Streptophyta; Magnoliopsida; Brassicales; Brassicaceae
Source: RNAcentral